GAUUAGGGCUCUCCUUUAUCUCCUCCACCCAUCCCCUUCUUCUAUGUGGGGGGGCUUACUUAGUGCUUGUGCUAAGGCGCGGGUUGAUCUCUCGGCCCUUCCCUCGCUUCUUGACUGGCUUGAAGAACUUGGACCCUUGAUUCAUUCAAGCCUUCAAUCUCAAGCAAGCUUUGUUGAAUCCCGGUCUCCGCCUGUUGAAUCCUUCUCUCAACUUCUGAUAGCUCAUAC
This 228-nucleotide long non-coding RNA is filed under the name Arachis ipaensis. RNAcentral describes it as "long non-coding RNA (AIPA_LNC002057)". Lineage: Eukaryota; Viridiplantae; Streptophyta; Magnoliopsida; Fabales; Fabaceae. The record is from RNAcentral.